UGGGGAAUAUUGGACAAUGGGCGAAAGCCUGAUCCAGCAAUGCCGCGUGAGUGAUGAAGGCCCUAGGGUUGUAAAGCUCUUUUACCCGGGAUGAUAAUGACAGUACCGGGAGAAUAAGCUCCGGCUAACUCCGUGCCAGCAGCCGCGGUAAUACGGAGGGAGCUAGCGUUGUUCGGAAUUACUGGGCGUAAAGCGCACGUAGGCGGCUUUGUAAGUUAGAGGUGAAAGCCUGGAGCUCAACUCCAGAAUUGCCUUUAAGACUGCAUCGCUUGAAUCCAGGAGAGGUGAGUGGAAUUCCGAGUGUAGAGGUGAAAUUCGUAGAUAUUCGGAAGAACACCAGUGGCGAAGGCGGCUCACUGGACUGGUAUUGACGCUGAGGUGCGAAAGCGUGGGGAGCAAACAGG
This 404-nucleotide ribosomal RNA is filed under the name uncultured bacterium. RNAcentral's name for it is "bacterial SSU rRNA". It matches the Rfam family "Bacterial small subunit ribosomal RNA", at positions 355 to 776 of the family's 1533-position model. The record is from RNAcentral.